GAUGAAGAACGUAGUGAAAUGCGAUAAGUAAUGUGAAUUGCAGAAUUCAGUGAAUCAUCGAAUCUUUGAACGCAUCUUGCGCUCCUUGGUAUUCCUUGGAGCAUGCCUGUUUGAGUAUCAUGAGCAAAUCUCAAAGUCAAUUCCUUUUGUUGAUUCAAUUGGUUUUGCUUUGGACUUGGAGGCCUUGCAGAUUUCACAGUCUGCUCCUCUUAAAUGCAUUAGCUGGAUCUCAGUAAUUAUGCUUGGUUCCACUCGGCGUGAUAAGUAUCACUCGCUGAGGACACUGUUAAAAAGGUGGCCAGGAAAUUACUGAUUGAACCGCUUCUAACGGUCUAUUAAGUUAGACAAUUACCCUUAAGUUUGAUCUCAAAUCAGGUAGGACUACCCGCUGAACUUAAGCAUAUCAAUAAGCGGAGGA
Molecule: unclassified non-coding RNA, 418 nt
Filed under: soil metagenome
Description: partial contains 5.8S ribosomal RNA, internal transcribed spacer 2, and large subunit ribosomal RNA
Rfam family: 5.8S ribosomal RNA (bases 1-120)
Source: RNAcentral